CCUACGGUGGGCAGCAGUGGGGGAUAUUGCACAAUGGGGGAAACCCUGAUGCAGCGACGCCGCGUGGGCGAAGAAGUAUUUCGGUAUGUAAAGCCCUAUCAGCAGGGAAGAAGAAAUGACGGUACCUGAGUAAGAAGCACCGGCUAAAUACGUGCCAGCAGCUGCGGUAAUACGUAGGGUGCAAGCGUUAUCCGAAUUUGUGGGGGGAAAGGGAGCGCAGGCGGCACGGCAAGCCUGCUGUGAAAGGCCGGGGCCCAACCGCGGGACUGCAUUGGGAACUACCGGGCUGGAGUGCCAGAGAGGUAGGCGGAAUUCCUAGUGUAGCGGUGAAAUGCGUAGAUAUUAGGAGGAACACCAGUGGCGAAGGCGGCCUACUGGACGGUGACUGACGCUGAGGCUCGAAAGCGUGGGGAGCAAACAGGAUUAGAUACCCGUGUAGUC
Molecule: ribosomal RNA, 441 nt
Filed under: uncultured bacterium
Lineage: Bacteria
Description: partial 16S ribosomal RNA
Rfam family: Bacterial small subunit ribosomal RNA
Source: RNAcentral